This 568-nucleotide long non-coding RNA is filed under the name Mytilus galloprovincialis (Mediterranean mussel). Lineage: Eukaryota; Metazoa; Mollusca; Bivalvia; Mytilida; Mytilidae. The record is from RNAcentral.
AAUUAAUGUUUUCAUUUAUAUAUAUAUUUUUUAUAUUUUGAGAAAAAAUAACACUAUUCAGUGAUUAAAAGAGUACUUGGUGUGUCCAUGCACAUCGGGACUCAUAUACACUAUUCAGUGAUUAAAAGAGUACUUGGUGUGUCUAUGCAUAUUGGGACUCAUAUACACUAUUCAGUGAUUUAAAGAGUACCUAGUGUGUCCAUGCACAUCAAGACUCAUAUCUCAGGUAUACUUAUCACAAAAACAUUUUUCAUAAAAAAGAAGUGUAUCCCUGUGAAGUGUAGGUCAUCAUGACCUAUUUUUCAUACCUAAAGGUGGGACUAUAUUGCUCCUAAGUGAUGCAUAUAUAAGGUAAAGUUUUGCAUCAUAGUUUAUAUCUUGCAUAUUGCAGCUUAAGUGAGUAUGUCAGCAUUCAGACAAUUUUCAAAAUUCUUAUGCAUCACUUAUUAUUGUUGUAAGUUCAAAUUAUUUGAAAAAAAACUGCAAAAAGAUUUUUUAAAUAUACGAACCAAUAACAUCAACAUCUCUCACAAAACCAUUAAUCAUUUUACAAAGUUUAGAAGAAUUU